GCAUCCUGUUCAUUCUUCACAAGAAUAUCCUGUUCAUGACAAUACUCCAGAUAAGGAUUUCAAAGGAGAAUACCAGGUUACUUACAAACGUAGAGGAGACCGGGAAGAAAGUGAAAGUGAAGAGGAAGUGCCAGAGGUCAAAGAGAAAAGACAAAAACUAGAAGACGUUCAUGAAAAUACUGGACCAGCUGGAGCUUUUGACAACAGACAGUUUGCUCGGCUUUAGAUCCUGUAUAAAGCCAGAGGCAGCAAACUCGAGGAGAUCACUUGAGACUUUGAACAGUACAAGCAGGAGAUAAGCAGGGAGAUCAGGAUUUAUAAACAUCAAAUCUCUCUGGCCAAAGGUGAGAAGGAGGGAACCUCCACCAGUCUCAAACAAUGUCAGGAUCUUCUGAUGGAAGCCAAGACAGAGAAUGCCCAGUUGAAGGGGAAACUCCAGGCCACAGAAAGUCAGGUAGAGGCCCUUCAAAGGGGGAAAGAGGAGGCAGUUAAAAGCCUGCAGACUGCUGAGUCCACAAUAGAGACUUUGAACCAACAGCUUGCUGAGAUGGGGGCAUCAGACAGUCUCAACAGAGCUCGAGUUGAGCAUGAGUGAGUUUUGUCAGGAGUCCAUCAGAAACAUGACAAGGAGGUCAAAGUUCUCAAAGAGAAGAUAGACGAUCUCACAGAUAAACUUAAUGAUCUGAAUGCAGAGAACUCAACAUUGAGACAGAAACUGAACGAGAGUUAUAAAGAGGCCGAAAACUCA
This is a long non-coding RNA of Saccostrea cuccullata (small rock oyster), 748 nucleotides long. RefSeq lists it as uncharacterized. The transcript has 5 exons. The record is from RefSeq and is a predicted model, not a curated record. NCBI's taxonomy places the organism in Eukaryota, Metazoa, Mollusca, Bivalvia, Ostreida, Ostreidae.